GGCCGUGUGGCCCAAUUGGAUAAGGCGCCUGACUACGGAUCAGGAGAUUCGGGGUUCGAGUCCCUGCAUGGUCA
Transfer RNA from Salpingoeca sp., 74 nucleotides. It matches the Rfam family "tRNA". From Rfam's summary of the family: Transfer RNA (tRNA) molecules are approximately 80 nucleotides in length. The record is from Rfam. NCBI's taxonomy places the organism in Eukaryota, Choanoflagellata, Craspedida, Salpingoecidae.